This 429-nucleotide ribosomal RNA is filed under the name Bacillota bacterium. RNAcentral describes it as "Firmicutes bacterium partial 16S ribosomal RNA". It matches the Rfam family "Bacterial small subunit ribosomal RNA", at positions 355 to 776 of the family's 1533-position model. The record is from RNAcentral. Lineage: Bacteria; Bacillati; Bacillota.
UAGGGAAUCUUCGGCAAUGGACGGAAGUCUGACCGAGCAACGCCGCGUGAGUGAAGAAGGUUUUCGGAUCGUAAAGCUCUGUUGUUAGAGAAGAACGUUGGUAGGAGUGGAAAAUCUACCAAGUGACGGUAACUAACCAGAAAGGGACGGCUAACUACGUGCCAGCAGCCGCGGUAAUACGUAGGUCCCGAGCGUUGUCCGGAUUUAUUGGGCGUAAAGCGAGCGCAGGCGGUUCUUUAAGUCUGAAGUUAAAGGCAGUGGCUUAACCAUUGUAAGCUUUGGAAACUGGAGGACUUGAGUGCAGAAGGGGGGAGUGGAAUUCCAUGUGUAGCGGUGAAAUGCGUAGAUAUAUGGAGGAACACUGGUGGCGAAAGCGGCUCUCUGGUCUGUAACUGACGCUGAGGCUCGAAAGCGUGGGGAGCAAACAGG